UGCAAGUCGAGAGGGUUAGACCCUCGGCAAACGGGUUAGUAUGCGUAGGAACGUACCCCAAAGUCAGGGAUAAUCCCGCGAAAGCGGGAAUAAUACCUGAUAGUCUCUUCGGAGUAAAGAUUUAUCGCUUUGGGAGCGGCCUGCGUCCUAUCAGCUUGUUGGUGAGGUAAUGGCUCACCAAGGCGAUGACGGGUAGGGGGCGUGAGAGCGUGACCCCCAACAUUGGCACUGAGACACUGGCCAAACACCUACGGGUGGCUGCAGUCGAGAAUAUUCCACAAUGGGCGAAAGCCUGAUGGAGCGACGCCGCGUGCGGGAUGACAGCCUUCGGGUUGUAAACCGCUUUUAGACGGGAAAAAUCUUCGGAUGAUGGUACCGUCUGAAUAAGAGGUUGCUAACUCCGUGCCAGCAGCAGCGGUAAUACGGAGACCUCAAGCGUUAUCCGGAUUUAUUGGACGUAAAGGGUGUGUAGGCGGCUUGAAUAGUCAGAUGUUAAAUCACUGAGCUCAACUCAGUGGCCGCAUUUGAAACGUUUGAGCUAGAGACAGGUAGAGGCAAAUGGAACUCAUGGUGUAGCAGUGAAAUGCGUUGAUAUCAUGGGGAACACCAAAGGCGAAGGCAGUUUGCUGGGCCUUGUCUGACGCUGAAACACGAAAGCGUGGGUAGCGAACGGGAUUAGAUACCCUGGUAGAAGGGC
RNAcentral lists this ribosomal RNA (697 nucleotides) under uncultured bacterium. Its description in RNAcentral is "bacterial SSU rRNA". It matches the Rfam family "Bacterial small subunit ribosomal RNA", at positions 56 to 795 of the family's 1533-position model. The record is from RNAcentral.